UGCAGGUUCAAGCCCAACCUGGGCAACACGAUAUCUUAGCAAGACUCUGUAAAAACAAAAAAGUACUGGGGAUGUAGAGGAGUAUAAUGAUCCUGGGUUCAACUUCCAGUACUUGGUAAAGAAAGGAAGGAAAAAUAGAAAAAGAGAAUCCUGCCAUUUGUGACAUGAGUAGAAUUCCAGAACACUAUUCAAUUGAAAUAAGCCAAAGAUAUAAAGAUAAACUCAAAGAAGGAGAAAGUAAAAUGGAGGCUACCAGAAGCUGGACACAGUGAUGUGCUCCUAUUGUUCCAGCUACUCAGAAGGUGGAAGCAAGAAGACAGUGUUCACCCAGAAGUUUGAGAUCAGCCUUGACAAAACAGUGAAAUCCUGUCUCAUAGAAAAAGUCUUUGAAGCUCACAUGAAACAAGGGGACACUUUCUGUCUGUACUGGCCAACACAGAAGUCAUCAUACUUCCUGAAGCUUAGGGGAAGCGUCAGAAGGUUUCACAUCAGUGAUGGGACAAAAUUAGCCCUAGCCUAAAUGCUGCUCUAAGUCCCAUAUAAUAAAGCUGAAAAGCAAUAUUCAAAAGAAUAAACCUCAAGAAUAUUUAUAGAAAUGAUAAAUAUCCAGCAUCUAAUAGGUAAAUUUAGGUCUGAAAUCCAGUAAAAUUUAAUUAAG
RNAcentral lists this long non-coding RNA (658 nucleotides) under Heterocephalus glaber (naked mole-rat). RNAcentral describes it as "lncRNA (ENSHGLG00100050901.1)". The record is from RNAcentral. Lineage: Eukaryota; Metazoa; Chordata; Mammalia; Rodentia; Bathyergidae.